AGUUAUGAGUGUGAGAGGUUUGAAUCCUACAUUUCUCUUUAGUGUUUUUUUUCUCUGUUUUAUUUGUUUUUUCUUUAAAAAUCACAAAAAUAACAUUUUGUAUCAUUUAAUUAUUAAUUUUUGUAUUUGUUAUUAAUGUAUUUUUUAAAAUAUUAUUUUUCCUUAAAAUUAUCAUUUUAUGCAUAAAAUCUUAAAAAAAUAAUUUUAAAAAAAUCAAAAUCUUUUAUCAUUAUUAGAUUAUUAGAUUAAUUUCAUUUAUUUAAAAUAAUUUUUUUAUCUAAAUUCACACAGUCAUGAAUCCAUCCAAAAUCAUUAGCUUGGACUCUAAGAAA
Molecule: long non-coding RNA, 332 nt
Filed under: Lathyrus oleraceus (garden pea)
Lineage: Eukaryota; Viridiplantae; Streptophyta; Magnoliopsida; Fabales; Fabaceae
Description: Pisum sativum (pea) long non-coding RNA (PSAT_LNC028288)
Source: RNAcentral